Molecule: ribosomal RNA, 189 nt
Filed under: uncultured bacterium
Lineage: Bacteria
Description: partial 16S ribosomal RNA
Rfam family: Bacterial small subunit ribosomal RNA
Source: RNAcentral
CCUACGGGAGGCAGCAGUGAGGAAUAUUGGUCAAUGGGCGCAAGCCUGAACCAGCCACGUCGCGUGAAGGAAGACGGCCCUACGGGUUGUAAACUUCUUUUGUAAGGGAAUAAAGUGUAGUACGUGUACUAUUUUGCAUGUACCUUACGAAUAAGGAUCGGCUAACUCCGUGCCAGCAGCCGCGGUAAU